UUAAUAAAAUAUAUAUAUAAAAUUUGGUUUAUUUUACGAUAUAUUUGGGUUUAUUUUAAAUAUUAAAAUGGGGUAAAUUGUUUAAAUUUAAUUUUUUAAUUUUAGGAAUUAUUAUAAUUAACCGCAACCGUUAAAAUAUUUUAAAAAAAUAAAAAUAUUAUUUUGGGGUGGGAUUCGUCGCUAUUAAAUUAUUUAUUAACCAACGUUUUUGCAACGGGUGGAAUAAAUAAUCCGACGGCGACGUUAUAUAUAACCGUUAUUCCAAUUAUUUGCAAAAUACGGUAAAAGGCAAAACAAUUAUAAAAUUAUUAUCCGUAAUAUAAUCGGGUUUUUUUCCAUUUAUAUUUUAUCGUUUUUUUAUUUGUUUGCAAUAUUUAUUAAUCCAAUAAUCGGGUAAUUUUUCGGGCGUUUCCGUGGUUACCGGGUAUAUUAUUUCCCCAAACGUAUUUUAUAUUGCAAUAUUAAAUAUUAUAUAUUACCCACCGUAAAAUUUUUUUUUACGUAUUUAUUCCAAAAAAAAUAAUAGCGCGUUUUGGUAAUAUUUAUUAUUAUAUUAAACGUCCUGGCCGCGUUAUUAUUUUUUAUAUAUAUUACGGUAAAAACGGCAAAUAUAUUAUUUUUUAUUAAAAAUAUUAAAAUAAACGCGCGUUCCAAUUUGUAAUUAUUAAUUAUAAUAUUUAUAUAUAAUAUAAUAGGUUAAAUAACCCGUUAUUAUACUUAAAUUAAUGGAAUAAAAAGGCGUAUUGCGGGAUUCGAAUUAUUAUAAAUAAUUUUCCUAUUAUUCCGUUUUGGAUUUUUUUUGGGGGAAAAUAAUAAUUAUAUAUUAAUUUUUUUAUAUAUAAUUAUAAUGUUAAUAUUAUAAAAGGUUAAUGGAAAUAUUUAUUGCAAUUCGCCGUAUUAAACGUAUAUUUUUUAAUAAUUUAAUAUAUAUAAAAAGGACGGGGAACGGCCAAAAUUUAUACGCCCGUUUUUUUAUAAAAUUGCGUUUAAUUCGACAAUUUGGUUUUCAAUUUCGCGUUAUUUACGUGCGUUUUAAUAAUUAUAAUAUUUAUUAUUUAAUUCGUUAUUUUUUAUUCCGCCGUUUUGCGGUUUGGAUAUAUAAUUAAUUAUUCGGUUGCGAAAAAAUAUUUAUAUUUACGUUUCUGUAUUUUAACGCCCGUUUUUAUUAAAUAUAAAAAUCGUAAUUUUUUAACCCGCGUUUGUAAAUUUUCGGAAAUUUAUUUAAAAAAUAAUCGCUAUAUUAUUUAAAUUAUACGCGAAAUUAUUAAAUAGGAAAAUAUUCCAAUAUAUUAUUUUUCGAUUAAACGCAAUUGUAAAAAUAAAUAAACGUUUUGGCAAAAAUGGUAAUUUUUUUAUAUAAUAACGUUAUUUGGAAAAAAAAAUUAUAUAAUUUUCGCGGGUUUGGGAAAAAUGUAAUUAUUAUAAAAUAAAUACCCCAUUUAUCCAAUUAUUUUAAUAUAAAAGUUUUUUUAAUAUAUUUUUUCGACGUUUUAUAUAUUUGUUUUUUCGGAAAUAAAAUAAAUAAAACCUCGAUUUUAUAAUAAUAAACGUUGCAAUAAUUUUGGCGGUAAUUAAUUAUAAUAAAUCGAUUCGGUUUUUGUAAAAAAUUUAAAAUAGCGCGUCGAAAAUAAAUAACGUUGGCGAAAUUAUAUAUAUUUGGUAUUUGUUUUUUUAAAUCUUUUUUAUUUGUUUUUUUCCGUACCGUUUAAUAGGGCGGAAUAUAUAAUUUAAAUAUAUUAAAUGGGUUUAUUUGGUUGAAUUCCGCGGUUUUUACGCGGUUAUUAUCGUUUAAAUUUGGUUCGGUUAAAAAUGGGAAAUUAAUGGGAAAUAAUUUUGUUUAAAAAUACGUUAAAAAUUUAAUUGGGUGGUUUGGAAAUUAUUAACAUAUUUGCGUAAUAUAACGAAUUAUUUACCAAUUUUAAUUAUAAUUUUUGGUUUAAUGGGUUUAUAUUUGGUUUUCGAAUUUUGGGUAUUAAAAUAUUAAUAAAACGUAAAAAAAUAUACGGUAUUAUUAAAAUUGGAUCCGCGUGCGGUUUUUCCAAAUUUUUACCACAAAUUUGCAAAAUUAUUUAAUAUUAACGUUUUAAAUUAUAUUAUACGUUUAACGUCGGAAAUAUUUAUAUUUAUAUCCAAAAAUAAAAUCGCAAAUAUAAUGCGGGUUUUGGAAUUCGGUUUAGAAAAUUUUUUGUAAAUUUUGGUUUUAUUAAUUUUAAAUAUAAACGAAUUGUAUUAAAUAAUAAUAUUAAUAAUAUAUAAUUAAU
This 2261-nucleotide small RNA is filed under the name Pyricularia oryzae. RNAcentral describes it as "Magnaporthe oryzae sRNA M_BR32_EuGene_00113031". The record is from RNAcentral. Lineage: Eukaryota; Fungi; Ascomycota; Sordariomycetes; Magnaporthales; Pyriculariaceae.